Molecule: ribosomal RNA, 948 nt
Filed under: Thysanorea seifertii
Lineage: Eukaryota; Fungi; Ascomycota; Eurotiomycetes; Chaetothyriales; Herpotrichiellaceae
Description: SSU rRNA
Rfam family: Eukaryotic small subunit ribosomal RNA
Source: RNAcentral
AACCGUGGUAAUUCUAGAGCUAAUACAUGCUAAAAACCUCAACUUCGGAAGGGGUGUAUUUAUUAGAUAAAAAACCAAUGCCCUUUGGGCUCCUUGGUGAUUCAUAAUAACUCAACGAAUCGCAUGGCCUUGCGCCGGCGAUGGUUCAUUCAAAUUUCUGCCCUAUCAACUUUCGAUGGUAGGAUAGUGGCCUACCAUGGUCUUAACGGGUAACGGGGAAUUAGGGUUCUAUUCCGGAGAGGGAGCCUGAGAAACGGCUACCACAUCCAAGGAAGGCAGCAGGCGCGCAAAUUACCCAAUCCCAAUUCGGGGAGGUAGUGACAAUAAAUACUGAUACGGGGCUCUUUCGGGUCUCGUAAUCGGAAUGAGUACAAUCUAAAUCCCUUAACGAGGAACAAUUGGAGGGCAAGUCUGGUGCCAGCAGCCGCGGUAAUUCCAGCUCCAAUAGCGUAUAUUAAAGUUGUUGCCGUUAAAAAGCUCGUAGUUGAACCUUGGACCUGGCUGAUCUGUCCUCCUAAUCGAGCGCACGGAUUCGGUCGGGUCUUUCCUUCUGGGGAACCCGAUGCCCUUCACUGGGUGUCGUGGGGAACCAGGACUUUUACCUUGAAAAAAUUAGAGUGUUCAAAGCAGGCCUUUGCUCGAAUACAUUAGCAUGGAAUAAUAGAAUAGGACAUCGGUUCUAUUUUGUUGGUUUCUAGGACCGCUGUAAUGAUUAAUAGGGAUAGUCGGGGGCGUCAGUAUUCAAUUGUCAGAGGUGAAAUUCUUGGAUUUAUUGAAGACUAACUACUGCGAAAGCAUUCGCCAAGGAUGUUUUCAUUAAUCAGUGAACGAAAGUUAGGGGAUCGAAGACGAUCAGAUACCGUCGUAGUCUUAACCAUAAACUAUGCCGACUAGGGAUCGGACGGUGGUUUUUUUAUGCCCCGUUCGGCACCUUACGAGAAAUCAAAG